Long non-coding RNA from Lathyrus oleraceus (garden pea), 1776 nucleotides. RefSeq lists it as uncharacterized. NCBI's taxonomy places the organism in Eukaryota, Viridiplantae, Streptophyta, Magnoliopsida, Fabales, Fabaceae. The record is from RefSeq and is a predicted model, not a curated record. The transcript is spliced from 3 exons.
CUUUCUAAACUAUUUAAUGUCAAGGUUUGUUAAUCAUUACAUGUUCGAUUGAUUUAUAUAAGUGAGGAUGUAUUUAAUAGAAAUAUUUAGCUUACAUUAUUUAAUAGAAAUCUCUUGUUCAUGAUCACUUUAUGAUUGUAUAAACAAAAUACAAAGGGUAAAAAAAUACGUACACUUGAUAAAUUCUCAUAUUUUCCUUUUUUUUCUUUCUUUUAUGAGUCAUUUUCUUUCUUAUCUAUCAAAUGUACAGAUCAAGUGAUUUCUGAUAUAGGUUGAUCUUUUGAAGGUUACACAUCUCUAACUUUUUUAUUUUGUCACUCUAUUCAUCUGUGUUUCCUCUUAUUUUCAAUUUUAUUCUCUCCUCACCAAUGAUUAUGAUCGGGUUUUUUGUAUUGUUUUGAUGAGAUUGAGAUGUUUGUUAGGAUUAUGAGGAUCUCACAAUAAUAAAGGUGAUGCUAAUGUAACACUGGAAAAAUGAUUGAGUUGGUUUCCUUUAUACCACACGAUCUCAUUUUCAUUUUCUUAUAAUUAUUCUGUUUUCUUUUUUUCUUUUUCAUUUUCUACUUAUAAUUAGUAUUUUAGCAUAUUUUUUAAUCUGUAUAACUUAUGUUAAUUGUUUAGUUAUCAGAAUAUAGAAGAUGACAUUGUAUGUUCUUUAGGAUAUAAGUAUAUAUUUAAUUAAUUUUGAUGUUCAAUACAUAUCUUUCUAAACUAUUUAAUGUCAAGGUUUGUUAAUCAUUACAUGUUCGAUUGAUUGAUGUAAUUGAGGAUGUACUUAAUAGAAAUAUUUAGCUUACACUAUUUAAUAGAAAUCUCUUGUUCAUGAUCACUUUAUGAUUGUAUAAACAAAAUACAAAGGGUAAAAAAUACGUACUACUGAAAAAUUGUCAUAUUUUCCUUUAUUUUUCUAUCUUUUAUGAGUAAUUUUUAUUCUUAUCUACCAAAUGUACAGAUCAAGUGAUUUCUGAUAUAGGUUGAUCUUUUGAAGGUUACACAUCUCUAACUUUUUUAUUUUGUCACUCUAUUCAUCAGUGUCUCCUCUUAUUUUCAAUUUUAUUCUUGCCUCACCAAUGAUUAUGAUCGGGUUUUUUGUAUUGUUUUGAUGAGAUUGAGAUGUUUGUUAGGAUUAUGAGGAUCUCACAAUAAUAAAGGUGAUGCUAAUGUAACACUGGAAAAAUGAUUGAGUUGGUUUCCUUUAUACCACACGAUCUCAUUUUCAUUUUCUUAUAAUUAUUCUGUUUUCUUUUUUUCUUUUCAUUUUCUACUUAUAAUUAGUAUUUUAGCAUUUUUUUAAUCUGUAUAACUUAUGUUAAUUGUUUAAUUAUCAGAAUAUAGAAGAUGACAUUGUAUGUUCUUUAGGAUAUAAGUAUAUAUUUAAUUAAUUUUGAUGUUCAAUACAUAUCUUUCUAAACUAUUUAAUGUCAAGGUUUGUUAAUCAUUACAUGUUCGAUUGAUUGAUAUAAUUGAGGAUGUACUUAAUAGAAAUAUUUAGCUUACACUAUUUAAUAGAAAUCUCUUGUUCAUGAUCACUUUAUGAUUGUAUAAACAAAAUACAAAGGGUAAAAAAUACGUACUACUGAAAAAUUGUCAUAUUUUCCUUUUUUUUUCUAUCUUUUAUGAGUAAUUUUUAUUCUUAUCUACCAAAUGUACAGAUCAAGUGAUUUCUGAUAUAGGUUGAUCUUUUGAAGGUUACACAUCUCUAACUUUUUUAUUUUGUCACUCUAUUCAUCUGUGUCUCCUCUUAUUUUCAAUUUUAUUCUUGCCUCACCAAUGAUG